UACGAAGGGGGCUAGCGUUGUUCGGAAUUACUGGGCGUAAAGCGCGCGCAGGCGGCUAUCCAAGUUAGUGGUGAAAGCCCGGAGCUCAACUCCGGAACUGCCAUUGAAACUGUUUAGCUUGAGGAUGAGAGAGGUGAGUGGAAUUCCCAGUGUAGAGGUGGAAAUUCGUAGAUAUCGGGGAGGAACACCAGGUGGCGAAGGCGGCGACCUGGGCCAAUAUUGACGCUGAGGUGCGAAAGCGUGGGGAGCAAACAGG
Molecule: ribosomal RNA, 256 nt
Filed under: uncultured bacterium
Lineage: Bacteria
Description: partial 16S ribosomal RNA
Rfam family: Bacterial small subunit ribosomal RNA
Source: RNAcentral